GUUCCUGCCUCCCCUGAGGCCUUCUGAGAAUCCCCCAGUCCUUGCUGGCAGGACAGUCUAAGAAGCUGAGAAAUAAAUAUCCUUGGCUCUGUACAGCACUGCUCAGCAACAACUGUGUGUUAUCAACAUUGUUGAUAAAACCAGCACUGACAUGUUCUAAAGAUAUGUGGCAGCAGAGGGGCAAUCUGACAAAACAGUAUUUGUCAUGGAAGUGCAUAUGAAGCAGAGGUCUGUCAUUGAAUUCCUCCAUGCACCUACUGACAUUUAUCAGUGCUUCCUGGGCAUUGAUGGAGACCAAACAGUGGAUGUGAGCACAGUGAGGUGAAUUAUAGUCUGGACCAUCCCAUGUGAAUUUCAGUGAUGCUAUUCUUCCCAUCAGCUUUGGGACUUCAACUUUUCCUGGUCCAGAGAUUUUAUGUAUAUCGUUCCAAGCACUGAAUCCUGAGGUUUUUUUCUCCUUUCUUGCUAUAAGCAGUCUGUACUGUCUGAUUACUAAUACAGCUUCUGCACAGUUGGUCCAAUGGAUUGACAGUAUAUCAGAUAUUAAAUACAUAAAAACCACUAGGGUGUAUGUUUAACUGAUGGUCCUUGCACAGGAGGAUUUUAAGAGUUUUCCAAAGACUAUUCAAAGCUGUUGUGAACAUUUCAGACCAAUUGCAGUCACCUUCAAAUGUUGUGUAGCAAGAAAAGAGUAAAAGGACCUUCCAAGAAAAGUACCUUCCUACAUAGAAAUAAAAUGAAAUGUGUGUUCAGUUACCUUGAUGUCUAGUCUUAUUUAACCCCUUUUUGUAAUUUACUUGUAUUUCCCUAAUACUUAAAGGCAGAAGUCAAGACUGUAAUCUUUAGUGCUUGUAUGAACAUGGAGGAAAGGACAAUAUUUGGGCUGGAAAAAAAAAAAAGUCAGACUAGCUAGCCAGGACAGAGAAAAAACAGCACGGGAACAGACACAAACAGAUAAAACCAUUUGUCCAAGGCCACGAAGAAGGGCAGUGGUAGAGAUUGGAGCAGAAUUUAAGAUUUCUGACUUCCAAUAUUAGAGUCCUAAUAAAUAAUUCAUUUAAUUUCCUUGUUUUUA
Lagopus muta (rock ptarmigan) is the source of this 1075-nucleotide long non-coding RNA. RefSeq lists it as uncharacterized. The record is from RefSeq and is a predicted model, not a curated record. The transcript has 4 exons. Lineage: Eukaryota; Metazoa; Chordata; Aves; Galliformes; Phasianidae.